Molecule: ribosomal RNA, 468 nt
Filed under: uncultured bacterium
Lineage: Bacteria
Description: partial 16S ribosomal RNA
Rfam family: Bacterial small subunit ribosomal RNA
Source: RNAcentral
GACGAACGCUGGCGGCGUGCUUAACACAUGCAAGUCGAACGGAAAGGCCCUGCUUUUGUGGGGUGCUCGAGUGGCGAACGGGUGAGUAACACGUGAGUAACCUGCCCUUGACUUUGGGAUAACUUCAGGAAACUGGGGCUAAUACCGGAUAGGAUCUCCUGCUGCACGGUGGGGGUUGGAAAGUUUCGGCGGUUGGGGAUGGACUCGCGGCUUCUCAGCUUGUUGGUGGGGUAGUGGCUUACCCAGGCUUUGACGGGUAGCCGGCCUGAGAGGGUGAGCGGCCACAUAGGGACUGAGAGAAGGCCCAGACUCCUGUGGGAGGCAGGAGAGGGGAAUGGUGCAGAAUGGGCGGAAGCCGAAUACAACAAGGCCGAGUGCGGGAUGACGGCAGUCGGGUUGUAAAGCGCUUUCGCUGGAGACGAAGCGUGAGUGACGGUAAUGGGUAAAGAAGCACCGGCUAACUACGUG